This 68-nucleotide transfer RNA is filed under the name Ignavibacteria bacterium RIFCSPLOWO2_02_FULL_55_14. Its description in RNAcentral is "tRNA-Leu". The record is from RNAcentral. Lineage: Bacteria; Pseudomonadati; Ignavibacteriota; Ignavibacteria.
GCCUAAGGUGGGGCCAAGACUGAUUCGUAGUCAGUAGGUCGCGGGUUCAACUCCCGCCCCCGGCUCCA